This is a long non-coding RNA of Cavia porcellus (domestic guinea pig), 1603 nucleotides long. RefSeq lists it as uncharacterized. NCBI's taxonomy places the organism in Eukaryota, Metazoa, Chordata, Mammalia, Rodentia, Caviidae. The transcript has 2 exons. The record is from RefSeq and is a predicted model, not a curated record.
GUAACGAGAAAGGACAACAUCAUUUCCGUCCCCUUGGACAAGCUUCAUAUCUCACCCAGAGUCACAGAUAUCCCUGAAUAUUGAAUCUGAAUCUAUUAAAAAGGCGUGAGGGUUUCUUAAAAUGCCAUUCAGUGCACAGUGCAUGCAGAGCUGGGACUGUAGGUGGUUAAAGGAAUUUCCCACUAGUCAGAGGACACAGAAGAGGAGGAAUCAGUACAGCACAAGAGAGCAGCAGACGUGGCCAAGAGAAGUUCAACCCUCAGGAUGAAACGCUAAGAAGUUUGUAUUUGAUUAUAAUGUGAUGAAGUCAGCUUUCAGCGUCUCUGUCCUAGGAACACUUGCAUCAGGUCACAGCGGUCCUAGCAGAUAUUGUUUGAAGACUGACAUGGAUUUUUGUUUGACAGGGUCCUGUUCCCUUGGCCUUGCUACAAGCAGCAUUUCUUGGCAAAAUCAAGAAAUAUAUAAAGAUGGAUGAGUCUGUGCUGCAGAGGAUCAGAAUAACACAUAUGUGUAUAUAUUUUGUCACAUUAUAUUAGGAUCCAGGAGAGAUGGUAUCAAGAUAUUUUAUGCAACUAGAUGAGCUAACAGUGCCUGCCUCGGGGCUGGAGGUUUAGCUCAGCGGCAUAAGCACCUGCCUUGCAAGCAGGCAGUCGUGAGUUCGAUCCCCGGUACCGAUAAAAAGGAAAAAGACAACAAAACAAACAAACAAACAAAAAAAAAACAGUGCAUGCCUCGCUUUUGUGUGUAGCCUCCAAGGAAGAAAUCUGAUGCUUUACGGCUAGCUCAGCCCUCAGCUUCAGAGUGGCCUCUAAAGAAACACUGGUAGAGAAAUCAAGAUUCUACACUGUUAUGGUUUGAUAACUAGUGGUCAACUUAAUGCCAGCUGGAUUACAUCAGCAUGCAUUGAGAGAAGAUGCUCCACCUGAGGAGGGUUGUCAGGAUAAAUAGGUGGAGAAAAAGAGAGGUGUUGGGAGGGAUUGAGGCAUUAAGGAGGCAUUAUGGGUUCUCCUACGAGUUGCUGUCUGAGCUGUUGGUUCUCCUGGAGAAGCUUUGGUCCUCACAUCGAGCAUUGCUUCCUGGCUCCGGAGGGGAAGACAUGUGCUGCUUGGUCUCCAGGAUAAACUCGUCACGCUGGCUUCCUGGCACGUACCUGACUGUGCUUGUCACUGGAGGAGCUCAGGGCCUCCGUGUCGCUGAGGACAGCUGUGGUGCCUUUUAGGACAGCCCCGCUCUUUGUUGUGAGUGUGACUUCUCGGCUCCAAUGUAAAACCCUCAUCCCACCAGCACAGCUCCUUCAUCCUGCUGGCAUAGACUUUCUGGCUUCCACCGCUGACCCUUGGGUCUUCCCGUCACGAAUCCGUAAAAGAGACUGACGAGUCCUUCUUGUCACGAAUCCGUAAAAGAGACUGACGAGUCCUUCUUGUGGGCUCUGGACUUCCAGUUGGACUCAUGGAGGCGUUGUCCUGAGCUCUGGGUUUUUAUCUCAUGUGGGACAUUGCCAUGGGGUUGACCUAAUAAUCUAUGUCGUUGGUGUUGCGGAUAGAUUUCCUGCAUUCUCCUGUGUUAACUUCCGGUGACCAUUAUAAAAAUAUUAUAAACUCCA